RNAcentral lists this ribosomal RNA (556 nucleotides) under Pseudomonas sp. G3C-9. RNAcentral's name for it is "bacterial SSU rRNA". It matches the Rfam family "Bacterial small subunit ribosomal RNA", at positions 55 to 606 of the family's 1533-position model. Lineage: Bacteria; Pseudomonadati; Pseudomonadota; Gammaproteobacteria; Pseudomonadales; Pseudomonadaceae. The record is from RNAcentral.
AUGCCAGUCGAGCGGUAGAGAGAAGCUUGCUUCUCUUGAGAGCGGCGGACGGGUGAGUAAUACCUAGGAAUCUGCCUGAUAGUGGGGGAUAACGUUCGGAAACGGACGCUAAUACCGCAUACGUCCUACGGGAGAAAGCAGGGGACCUUCGGGCCUUGCGCUAUCAGAUGAGCCUAGGUCGGAUUAGCUAGUUGGUGAGGUAAUGGCUCACCAAGGCUACGAUCCGUAACUGGUCUGAGAGGAUGAUCAGUCACACUGGAACUGAGACACGGUCCAGACUCCUACGGGAGGCMGCAGUGGGGAAUAUUGGACAAUGGGCGAAAGCCUGAUCCAGCCAUGCCGCGUGUGUGAAGAAGGUCUUCGGAUUGUAAAGCACUUUAAGUUGGGAGGAAGGGCAUUAACCUAAUACGUUAGUGUUUUGACGUUACCGACAGAAUAAGCACCGGCUAACUCUGUGCCAGCAGCCGCGGUAAUACAGAGGGUGCAAGCGUUAAUCGGAAUUACUGGGCGUAAAGCGCGCGUAGGUGGUUUGUUAAGUUGAAUGUGAAAUCCCCGG